UACAGAGGUCUCAAGCGUUGUUCGGAUUCAUUGGGCGUAAAGGGUGCGUAGGUGGCGGGGUAAGUCUGGUGUGAAAUCUCGGGGCUCAACCCCGAAACUGCACUGGAUACUGCCUUGCUUGAGUACUGGAGAGGAGAUUGGAAUUUACGGUGUAGCAGUGAAAUGCGUAGAUAUUAGGAAGAACACCAGUGGCGAAGGCGCUCUACUGGGCCAUUACUGACGCUGAUGGACGAAAGCUAGGGGAGCGAAAGGG
RNAcentral lists this ribosomal RNA (253 nucleotides) under uncultured bacterium. RNAcentral's name for it is "partial 16S ribosomal RNA". It matches the Rfam family "Bacterial small subunit ribosomal RNA", at positions 524 to 776 of the family's 1533-position model. The record is from RNAcentral.